Molecule: ribosomal RNA, 452 nt
Filed under: Staphylococcus aureus
Lineage: Bacteria; Bacillati; Bacillota; Bacilli; Caryophanales; Staphylococcaceae
Description: bacterial SSU rRNA
Rfam family: Bacterial small subunit ribosomal RNA
Source: RNAcentral
UAAGUCCCGCAACGAGCGCAACCCUUAAGCUUAGUUGCCAUCAUUAAGUUGGGCACUCUAAGUUGACUGCCGGUGACAAACCGGAGGAAGGUGGGGAUGACGUCAAAUCAUCAUGCCCCUUAUGAUUUGGGCUACACACGUGCUACAAUGGACAAUACAAAGGGCAGCGAAACCGCGAGGUCAAGCAAAUCCCAUAAAGUUGUUCUCAGUUCGGAUUGUAGUCUGCAACUCGACUACAUGAAGCUGGAAUCGCUAGUAAUCGUAGAUCAGCAUGCUACGGUGAAUACGUUCCCGGGUCUUGUACACACCGCCCGUCACACCACGAGAGUUUGUAACACCCGAAGCCGGUGGAGUAACCUUUUAGGAGCUAGCCGUCGAAGGUGGGACAAAUGAUUGGGGUGAAGUCGUAACAAGGUAGCCGUAUCGGAAGGUGCGGCUGGAUCACCUCCUUU